UACGUAGGGGGCAAGCGUUAUCCGGAUUUACUGGGUGUAAAGGGAGCGCAGACGGCAGUGCAAGUCUGGAGUGAAAGCCCGGGGCUCAACUCCGGGACUGCUUUUGAAACUGCGUUGCUAGAUUGCGGGAGAGGCAAGUGGAAUUCCUAGUGUAGCGGUGAAAUGCGUAGAUAUUAGGAGGAACACCAGUGGCGAAGGCGGCUUGCUGGACCGUGAAUGACGCUGAGGCUCGCAAGCGUGGGGAGCAAACAGG
This 253-nucleotide ribosomal RNA is filed under the name uncultured Coprococcus sp. Its description in RNAcentral is "partial 16S ribosomal RNA". It matches the Rfam family "Bacterial small subunit ribosomal RNA", at positions 524 to 776 of the family's 1533-position model. The record is from RNAcentral. Lineage: Bacteria; Bacillati; Bacillota; Clostridia; Lachnospirales; Lachnospiraceae.